GGCUUUAUGAUUAUUGUAUCCUGUAAAACACGAUAAAUAGGCAUGUUAUUCAUGGUGGAAAAAAGCCGCACCAUAUAAAUUUUUAAGAAGAAAUUACCCAAAGAAAACUAAAACUGUCUGAUCUAAAUUGGACAUUCAAAGAAGUAAUGUCUCCUAAUAGAAGUCAGCAGCUACAAACCUAAAAACCAAAGUGCUCCACCAGGCACCAGGAAGAAAGAAAAAUAUAGAGUCAAAAAUCAAAGAACCUGCAAUUUAGUCUGAAAACAGCCAUAAAAGAUAAAGCUUUAUAGAGCGAAAACAAACACAUAUGGGAAUUUAGGACAAAUAAGCUAAAAAUAAGCUUAGGAAUCUAAUGCAAAACAGAACAGAACCCAGAUCAGAAUAUGCAAAGCGCUGCGCCAAGCAUUAUUCUACACACCCACCUGGCCUUAUCUUCCAUAACUCAUCAAUCUAUCACAAAACCGGAACAAAAAUAGAAAAGGA
Molecule: unclassified non-coding RNA, 483 nt
Filed under: Hevea brasiliensis (rubber tree)
Lineage: Eukaryota; Viridiplantae; Streptophyta; Magnoliopsida; Malpighiales; Euphorbiaceae
Source: RNAcentral